Molecule: ribosomal RNA, 895 nt
Filed under: uncultured bacterium
Lineage: Bacteria
Description: bacterial SSU rRNA
Rfam family: Bacterial small subunit ribosomal RNA
Source: RNAcentral
CGGCGAACGGGUGAGUAACACAUCGGAACGUACCCAGACGUGGGGGAUAGCCCGGCGAAAGCCGGAUUAAUACCGCAUACGUCCUGAGGGAGAAAGCAGGGGAUCGCAAGACCUUGCGCGUUUGGAGCGGCCGAUGUCUGAUUAGCUAGUUGGUGGGGUAAAGGCCCACCAAGGCGACGAUCAGUAGCGGGUCUGAGAGGAUGAUCCGCCACACUGGAACUGAGACACGGUCCAGACUCCUACGGGAGGCAGCAGUGGGGAAUUUUGGACAAUGGGGGCAACCCUGAUCCAGCCAUUCCGCGUGAGUGAAGAAGGCCUUCGGGUUGUAAAGCUCUUUCGGCAGGAACGAAACGGUUACGGCCAAUACCCGUGACUAAUGACGGUACCUGAAGAAGAAGCACCGGCUAACUACGUGCCAGCAGCCGCGGUAAUACGUAGGGUGCGAGCGUUAAUCGGAAUUACUGGGCGUAAAGCGUGCGCAGGCGGCUUUUUAAGCCAGAUGUGAAAUCCCCGGGCUUAACCUGGGAACUGCAUUUGGAACUGGAAGGCUAGAGUGCGGCAGAGGGGUGUAGAAUUCCACGUGUAGCAGUGAAAUGCGUAGAGAUGUGGAGGAAUACCGAUGGCGAAGGCAGCCCCCUGGGUCGACACUGACGCUCAUGCACGAAAGCGUGGGGAGCAAACAGGAUUAGAUACCCUGGUAGUCCACGCCCUAAACGAUGUCUACUAGUUGUUGGAGGAGUGAAAUCCUUUAGUAACGAAGCUAACGCGUGAAGUAGACCGCCUGGGGAGUACGGUCGCAAGAUUAAAACUCAAAGGAAUUGACGGGGACCCGCACAAGCGGUGGAUGAUGUGGAUUAAUUCGAUGCAACGCGAAGAACCUUACCUACCCUUGACA